GUUCACUGCCGAAUAAGCAGCUUAGAAA
RNAcentral lists this non-coding RNA (28 nucleotides) under Aquaspirillum sp. LM1. The record is from RNAcentral. Lineage: Bacteria; Pseudomonadati; Pseudomonadota; Betaproteobacteria; Neisseriales; Aquaspirillaceae.